GUCUAGAGGCUUCGGCAAUGGACGAAAGUCUGACCGAGCGACGCCGCGUGUGGGAUUGAAGGCCUUCGGGUCGUAAACCACUGUCGGAAGGGAAGAAUGCCCGUAUGGCGAAUACGGGAGUGACGGUACCUUCAGAGGAAGCCCCGGCUAACUCCGUGCCAGCAGCCGCGGUAAUACGGAGGGGGCAAGCGUUAUUCGGAUUUACUGGGCGUAAAGGGUGCGUAGGCGGUCGCGCAAGUCUGAUGUGAAAUCUUCACCACUCAACGGGAAGAGGUCAUUGGAAACUGCGCGACUUGAGUUUGGUAGAGGCUAGCGGAAUUCCUGGUGUAGCGGUGGAAUGUGUAGAUAUCAGGAAGAACACCUGUGGCGAAGGCGGCUAGCUGGGCCAAUACUGACGCUGAGGCACGAAAGCGUGGGGAGCAAACGGGAUUAGAAACCCCAGUAGUCC
Molecule: ribosomal RNA, 448 nt
Filed under: uncultured bacterium
Lineage: Bacteria
Description: bacterial SSU rRNA
Rfam family: Bacterial small subunit ribosomal RNA
Source: RNAcentral